CUAGUUCAAAGAGAACUUCUGAGAUUUCAAAGAGAGAUUUUUUUGGGCUGCAGUUGGUGAUACAAUCCUGAUAUAGUUUUGGACAACAUGUCGUUUGAAGAAAAUACAAUGGCAAGCUUUUGGUUUUAUGUAACUAAAGCAAGAAUUGAAGUCAUUAACAAUAUAAUAUGAAGGCAUAAGUGGAGAGAUAUUGAUGAAGUCAUAGUGGGAAUAAUAGGUUUUAGUAUAGUAAUAAUAACAUGUGAACCCUUGUAUGAAUGAUAUACUGUAUUUAAAAUUUCCUAUGAUUUCCUCUUGUGACUUGUUUCUUUGUAAGUCACUAAAAGACUUGGUAAUAUAUCCUUUCUAUCUCAUGCUAAUUUCUUCAAAAUACCUCUCUAACUUGCAUUUUCCUUUUUCUCUUUCCCUCGGUUUGUACUUGAAGUA
This is a non-coding RNA of Vicia faba (fava bean), 426 nucleotides long. The record is from the annotation of a GenBank genome assembly. Lineage: Eukaryota; Viridiplantae; Streptophyta; Magnoliopsida; Fabales; Fabaceae.